This 252-nucleotide ribosomal RNA is filed under the name Peptacetobacter hiranonis DSM 13275. RNAcentral describes it as "[Clostridium] hiranonis DSM 13275 partial 16S ribosomal RNA". It matches the Rfam family "Bacterial small subunit ribosomal RNA", at positions 524 to 776 of the family's 1533-position model. Lineage: Bacteria; Bacillati; Bacillota; Clostridia; Peptostreptococcales; Peptostreptococcaceae. The record is from RNAcentral.
UACGUAGGGGACUAGCGUUAUCCGGAUUUACUGGGCGUAAAGGGUGCGUAGGCGGUCUUUCAAGUCAGGAGUUAAAGGCUACGGCUCAACCGUAGUAAGCUCCUGAUACUGUCUGACUUGAGUGCAGGAGAGGAAAGCGGAAUUCCCAGUGUAGCGGUGAAAUGCGUAGAUAUUGGGAGGAACACCAGUAGCGAAGGCGGCUUUCUGGACUGUAACUGACGCUGAGGCACGAAAGCGUGGGGAGCAAACAGG